UUGCCUCAGCCUCCUGAGUAGCUGGGACUACAGGUGCCUGCCACCACACCCAGCUUUUUUUUUUUUUGGUAGAGACAGGGUUGUUGGCCAUGUUGGCCAGGCUGGUCUCGAACUCCUGACCCAAGUGAUCCCCCUGCCUUGGCUUUUGAAAGAGUUGGGAUUACAGGCAUGAGCCAUGGUGCCUGGCCAUUUAAUUUUAUUCUUUUACAUUUUAAAAUUACAGUUUUUAUACCUAUUCAGAAGUAGAGAAAAUAGUACGAUGAACACUAAAAUACUUAUUCCUUAAUUUCUGUGAUCAUCAAGAUUGUCCUGCAUUUUGUUCUAUUUCUUUUCCUCCCUUUGCAGGAAUACUGUAAAGAGUCUUCAUGUCAUUUUACCUGUUCAGUGCACGUCCCCAAACAGCCACCAUCUCCUCACAUCUGACAAAAUUAACAAUGUUUUUUUGGUGUCAGCUCAUUGUUUGCUUUAUAUCUGGAUCCAAACAAUCUUCUCGUGCUAACUUUGGUUAUCAUGCCUCUUUUAAUCUAAACCAGCCUCUGCUUACUAUUGUUAUUUCAUAUUCCACGAAUUCUCUGUGGGAAGUUAUUUCUUUCAAAACAGCAUGGUUACAAGGUUGAAGGUGUAAAGAAUAUUGAUCUUGUGGUUGCAGUGCAGAUGAAAGUGUAGCCUGAAAUGUGCCGUGUGCAGCAGCAAUGGAGGAGGGUUAUUAAAGGUCACCAGCAGAGAGUAAGUAGCAAAAGGCUGCUUCCAGAUAGUAUUUACAGGCUGGGUCCAGUGGCUCAUGCCUGUAAUUGCAGCACUUUGGGAGGCCGAGAUGGGCGAACCACCUGAGAUAUCGGGAGUUUGAGACCAUCCUGCCCAAAAUGGUGAAACCUGGUCUCUACUAAACAAUACAAAAAUUAGCCAGGCAUGAUGGCAGGUGCCAAUAAUCUUAGCUACUUGGGAGGCUGUGGCAGGAGAAUUGCUAGAACCUGGGAGGUGGAGGUUGCAGUGAGCUGAGAUCAUGCCACUGCACUGCAGCCUGGGUGACAGAGCAAGACUCCAUCUCAAAAAAAAUACUACUUAGGUUGUAUUCUUUAUCUUCUAUAAUAAUUUUCUUUCUCUGUCUUCCUAAGGACAUUGAAAAGAAGUUUUAUCUUUUAGGAUCUUUGAAGAUCUUUUCUAAGACCAAAACUCUCAAGCACAUUCAAAUGAUUUGUAUGUGGAAGGACUAUCAGAAAACAUUUCUUUUAGAAGUCCCUUGUGAUAUGGAAUUCCGAGGCUGGAAAACAUCAGACAUGAACUUAUUAAUUCUACACGUGAGGAUUUACAACUUGAUAAACCAGCUUCAGGAGGCUCGAGUGCAAUGGUGCAAUCUUGGCUCAUGACAACCUCUGCCUCCUGGGUUCCAACAAUUCUCCUGCCUGAGCCUCCCGAGUAGCUGGGAUAACAGGUUCAAGCGAUCCUCCUGCCACAGUAUCCAUAGUAGUUGGGACUACAGCUGGAGUUUCCCUCUUGUCCCCAUGCUGGAGUGCAAUGGCAUCAUCUUGGCUCACUGUAACGUCUACCUCCUGGAUUCAAGUGAUUCUCCUGCCUCAGCUUCCCGAGUAGCUGGGAUUGCAGGCACCUGCUUCCACACAUAGAUUCUCACUCCGUUGCCGAGGCUGGAGUCUAGUGGCAUGAUCUUGGCUCACUGUAGUGUCUUCCUGCUGGGCGCAAGUGAUUAUCUUGCCUCAGCCUCCUGAGUAGCUGGGAUUACAGGAUAUUGAAAAACAAAGUUUAAUCUUUGAAG
Molecule: non-coding RNA, 1771 nt
Organism: Callithrix jacchus (white-tufted-ear marmoset)
Lineage: Eukaryota; Metazoa; Chordata; Mammalia; Primates; Cebidae
Source: RefSeq, a predicted model, not a curated record